Molecule: ribosomal RNA, 611 nt
Filed under: uncultured Articulospora
Lineage: Eukaryota; Fungi; Ascomycota; Leotiomycetes; Helotiales; Helotiaceae
Description: eukaryotic LSU rRNA
Rfam family: 5.8S ribosomal RNA (bases 229-382)
Source: RNAcentral
CUUGGUCAUUUAGAGGAAGUAAAAGUCGUAACAAGGUCUCCGUAGGUGAACCUGCGGAAGGAUCAUUACAGAGUUCAUGCCCUCACGGGUAGAUCUCCCACCCUUGAAUAUUUUAUACCUUAGUUGCUUUGGCAGGCCGUGGAAACACCAUGGGCUCCGGCUUAUGCGUGCCUGCCAGAGGAAACAAACUCUGUUUUUAGUGAUGUCUGAGUACUAUAUAAUAGUUAAAACUUUCAACAACGGAUCUCUUGGUUCUGGCAUCGAUGAAGAACGCAGCGAAAUGCGAUAAGUAAUGUGAAUUGCAGAAUUCAGUGAAUCAUCGAAUCUUUGAACGCACAUUGCGCCCCUUGGUAUUCCGGGGGGCAUGCCUGUUCGAGCGUCAUUACAACCCUCAAGCCUUGCUUGGUAUUGGGCAUCGCCGUUCACUCGGCGGGCCUUAAAAUCAGUGGCGGUGCCAUUGUGGCCCUGAGCGUAGUAAAUAUCCUCGCUAUAGGGACCCGGUGCCUACUAGCCAGUAACCCCCAACUUUCUAAGUUUGACCUCGGAUCAGGUAGGGAUACCCGCUGAACUUAAGCAUAUCAAUAAGCGGAGGAAAAGAAACCAACCAAUCU